GAUGAACGCUAGCGGCAGGCUUAACACAUGCAAGUCGAGGGGCAGCGUGAGACGGAGAUUCGUCGAAGUCUUGAUGGCGACCGGCGCAAGGGUGCGUAACGCGUGAGCAACUUGCCCGUUUCUGGGGAAUAACCGGUGGAAACGCCGACUAAUACCCCAUGGCAUUGAUUGGAGGCAUCUCCGAUCAAUUAAAGAAUUUCGGAAACGGAUAGGCUCGCGUGACAUUAGCUAGAUGGCGGGGUAACGGCCCACCAUGGCGACGAUGUCUAGGGGUUCUGAGAGGAAGGUCCCCCACACUGGAACUGAGACACGGUCCAGACUCCUACGGGAGGCAGCAGUGAGGAAUAUUGGUCAAUGGUCGAGAGACUGAACCAGCCAUGCCGCGUGAAGGUGACGGCCCUAUGGGUCUUAAACUUCUUUUGUAAGGGAGCAAUAAGGUGCACGUGUGCAUCGAUGAGAGUACCUUACGAAUAAGCAUCGGCUAACUCCGUG
This 492-nucleotide ribosomal RNA is filed under the name uncultured bacterium. Its description in RNAcentral is "bacterial SSU rRNA". It matches the Rfam family "Bacterial small subunit ribosomal RNA", at positions 28 to 507 of the family's 1533-position model. The record is from RNAcentral.